This 1119-nucleotide long non-coding RNA is filed under the name Sus scrofa (pig). RNAcentral describes it as "lncRNA (ENSSSCG00005026847.1)". The record is from RNAcentral. Lineage: Eukaryota; Metazoa; Chordata; Mammalia; Artiodactyla; Suidae.
GGUGGACUCCUCUGCGGCAGAUCUCCUGUAAGAUGUGCUGGUUAAGGCUUCUGGCAGAUUCGGGUCAGUCCCAAGUGCGACCGGUCUUCUGGGGCUGCCGUCCGCAGACCCUUCUCGCAUCCACGUACCUGGCGGCCUCCCUCAUCGCGUGCUGUUGGUAGGGGGGCGAGUCAGGCCCUGUACACGUCCUGACAGGCACCCGGCCCACCCCCAGCCAACUGUGCGCUGUGUUCCUGCCCCAGCACGAGACCUGUGGGGUGUCCGCGGCAGAAGAUGUCAGAGCUGGAAGAGACCUGAGAGGCGAUCCCUUGGUGGGUGAUGGGUUCUUCCGGGAAUCUGGUGGUAAGUGUCGGGGAGGGUCUGGCCUGGUGGGGUGGGUCCCUUCACUUCCUUUUGAGUGUUGAUUUUCUGUAAGUCCCUCUGUCCAGGAGUUCAAAACCACCCGCUUACCCUACCUUCCCAUGUUGCCUAUCAGGUGAUGGAGUCCCAGAAAGCGUAACUGUCUGCCAGCUCACGAGGCCGUUUUGUGCAGAUAGUUUGAUUACCUCUGUGGUUGGGAUUCAACUUGUCGCCUUUUCCCCGGGAAUCUCCAGAUGAGCGGUGUGUCAGCCUGGAAAAGGUGGGCUCCUGCCGCAUCCCUGUGGCAGAGGCCUCUUAGCUCUCUGCAGUCAGGAGUGGGAGCCCAGGUUCACGCCCAUUUAUUGCCGCUUGCUCUCAAUUGGCAUUUGUUACAAUCUCUUGUUUAUGCUCUUACAUCACUUAAUUGUAACAGCAGGCCUCGGAGUUGUUUCCAGUUUCCUGGUUUUUAGAGACAAGGAAGUGGGAGCCGAGGGUGUGACCUGCUGCACUGACACCCCAGGCCUUUGGGCCUCUUCUCUAGGCAGGAUCAAAUCCUUGCUCUCUUUCCAGGAGGCUGGGAGUUCUGGUUCUCGGCCCAGGCUGGGGGGGAAGGCCUCCAGGCCACGUGUGCAUGUCUGACCAACAUUCUCUGACGCCAGGUUUGCGCGCCUUGUUGUCUGCUUCCAGAACAAGGAUCUUCGCUGUACGCCAAGACCCAGACCCCUCUGACAUCGGAAUGACAAGUGGGAUAUUUAAUAAAACAGUUUCAAAUUUGGAGUC